RNAcentral lists this ribosomal RNA (253 nucleotides) under uncultured bacterium. RNAcentral's name for it is "partial 16S ribosomal RNA". It matches the Rfam family "Bacterial small subunit ribosomal RNA", at positions 524 to 776 of the family's 1533-position model. The record is from RNAcentral.
UACAGAGGUCCCGAGCGUUGUUCGGAAUUACUGGGCGUAAAGGGUGCGUAGGCGGUUCGUUAAGUUGGAUGUGAAAACUCUGGGCUCAACCCAGAGCCUGCAUCCAAAACUGGCGGGCUAGAGUUCUGGAGGGGGUAGCGGAAUUCCUGGUGUAGCGGUGAAAUGCGUAGAUAUCAGGAGGAACACCGGUGGCGAAGGCGGCUACCUGGACAGAAACUGACGCUGAGGCACGAAAGCUAGGGGAGCAAACAGG